AGUGGAUGGGGAGCAACCUAGUUGUGCGUGUGUAAAGGUAGUGCCAAGAAAAGCGAUGAUCAUGUUGAAAAUCAAUUCCCGGUACCCGAAACCGACACAGGUGGGCAAGUAGAGAAUACUAAGGGGCGCGAGGUAACUCUCUCCAAGGAACUCGGCAAAAUGACCCCGUAACUUAGGGAGAAGGGGUGCCACCGAGAGGUGGUCGCAGUGAAGAGGCCCAGGCGACUGUUUAGCAAAAACAUAGGUCUCUGCAAACUCGAAAGAGGAGGUAUAGGGGCUGACGCCUGCCCAGUGCCGGAAGGUUAAAGAAGUUGGUCAGUUUUAGGAUGAAGCUAGCGACUGAAGCCCCGGUGAACGGCGGCCGUAACUAUAACGGUCCUAAGGUAGCGAAAUUCCUUGUCGGGUAAGUUCCGACCCGCACGAAAGGCGUAACGAUCUGGGCGCUGUCUCGGAGAGAGGCUCGGCGAAAUAGGAUUGUCUGUGAAGAUACGGACUACCUGCAUUUGGACAGAAAGACCCUAUGAAGCUUUACUAUAGCUUGGAAUUGUGUUCGGGCUUCCUGUGCGCAGGAUAGGUGGGAGGCGUAGAAGGUAUUCUCGUGGGGAUACUGGAGCCAACGGUGAGAUACCACUCUCAGGAGGCUAGAAUUCUAACUUAAUUAAGGACAGUUUCAGGUGGGUAGUUUGACUGGGGCGGUCGCCUCCAAAAAGGUAACGGAGGCGUACAAAGGUUCCCUCAGACUGGUUGGAAAUCAGUCGAAGAGUGCAAAGGCAGAAGGGAGCUUGACUGCGAGAAGUACAGUUCGAGCAGGGUGGAAACACGGUCUUAGUGAUCCGACGGUGCUGUGUGGAAGGGCCGUCGCUCAACGGAUAAAAGUUACUCUAGGAUAACAGGCUGAUCUCCCCCAAGAGUUCACAUCGACGGGGAGGUUUGGCACCUCGAUGUCGGCUCAUCGCAACCUGGGGCGGAAGUACGUCCCAAGGGUUGGGCUGUUCGCCCAUUAAAGCGGUACGUGAGCUGGGUUCAGAACGUCGUGAGACAGUUCGGUCCAUAUCCGAUGUAGGCGUGAGAAUAUUGAGAGGAGCCUUCCUUAGUACGAGAGGACCGGGAAGGACGCACCGCUGGUGUACCUGUUAUGAUGCCAAUUGUAAACGCAGGGUAGCCAAGUGCGGAGAGGAUAACCGCUGAAAGCAUCUAAGUGGGAAGCCCACCUCAAGAUGAGUAUUCUGGUGUAAGGUCACGGGAAGACGACCCGUAAAUAGGCACGAGGUGGAAGUGCAGAGAUGUAUGAAGCCGAAGUGUACUAAUAGACCGUCGGCUUGACC
Molecule: ribosomal RNA, 1325 nt
Filed under: metagenome
Description: bacterial LSU rRNA
Rfam family: Bacterial large subunit ribosomal RNA
Source: RNAcentral